Molecule: ribosomal RNA, 377 nt
Filed under: uncultured bacterium
Lineage: Bacteria
Description: bacterial SSU rRNA
Rfam family: Bacterial small subunit ribosomal RNA
Source: RNAcentral
ACACGUAGGGGGCAAGCGUUGUCCGGAAUUAUUGGGCGUAAAGGGCGUGUAGGCGGUUAAUUAAGUCAGGUGUGAAAGCCCGGGGCUUAACCCCGGGACUGCACCUGAAACUGGUUAACUUGAGGGCAAGAGAGGAAAGCGGAAUUCCUAGUGUAGCGGUGAAAUGCGUAGAUAUUAGGAGGAACACCAGUGGCGAAGGCGGCUUUCUGGCUUGACCCUGACGCUGAGGCGCGAAAGCGUGGGGAGCAAACAGGAUUAGAUACCCUGGUAGUCCACGCCGUAAACGAUGGGUACUAGGUGUAGGAGGUAUCGACCCCUUCUGUGCCGCAGCAAACGCAUUAAGUACCCCGCCUGGGGAGUACGUUCGCAAGAAUGAA